CGUCCACCGAACGCUGUGAUACCGGGGUGUGAGUGUAUGUCGGAUAAGAUCAGACUGUGUUGUCUCCUGAGGGAUUGUUUUAUGGAUACCCAGCACUCCUGUACAUUUAAAUAGAAUGCAAACAAAAAAAAAACCAAAACAUUGCAAAAAAUGAGAAAAACAUUGCACAUUUAAAGCCUAAACAUGGUCAGUUGUCGUCACAGCAGCCUUUUCUCCCUGUUUCUCCGUGGUCGUCCGCGAGAUGCGAGUUUCUCCUCAGUGCGGUGUGAAUAUGGUCUUUCUGAAUUUCCCACUCUCUUUCCUACAGCCAUCUCUUACGCACCCGCUGGGCCUUACCCAGCCCCUCCCACAGUAGCUGCGAUGGUGCCCCCCCCUCCGGGAGAGAUAGGGUUCAAGGUGUCAGAACAGCUCCCUCCAGUGGACAGCGAAGCUCCGGCCCCGUGCGAGACGAGUGUGCCUGUGGGCUGCGUGGAGCUGGUGGUGAGCGCCUUCGACGACAAGAACGUCCGCAGGGCCUUCAUCAGAAAGGUGUUCUGUGUGCUGACUGUGCUGUAUCUCUCUUUGACUCCAGGUGUUCUGUGUGCUGUAUCUCUCUCUGACUCCAGGUGAUCAGUGUGCUGACUGUGUUGUAUCUCUCUCCGACUCCAGGCGAUCAGUGUGCUGACUGUGCUGUA
Molecule: long non-coding RNA, 674 nt
Filed under: Lepisosteus oculatus (spotted gar)
Lineage: Eukaryota; Metazoa; Chordata; Actinopteri; Semionotiformes; Lepisosteidae
Description: lncRNA (ENSLOCG00000023105.1)
Source: RNAcentral